AUUGAACGCUGGCGGCAGGCCUAACACAUGCAAGUCGAGCGGAGCGGCGGACGGGUGAGUAAUGAAUAGGAAUCUGCCCGGUAGUGGGGGAUAACGUCCGGAAAGGGGCGCUAAUACCGCAUACUAUCAGAUCAGCCUAUGUCGGAUUAGCUAGUUGGUGGGGUAAGGGCUUACCAAGGCGACGAUCCGUAACUGGUUUGAGAGGAUGAGCAGUCACACUGGAACGGAGACCCGGCCCAGACUCCUACGGGAGGCAGCAGUGGGGAAUGUUGGACAAUGGGCGAAAGCCUGAUCCAGCCAUGCCGCGUGUGUGAAGAAGGUCUUCGGGUUGUAAAGCACUUUAAGUUGGGAAGCGUUACCAGCAGAAUAAGCACCGGCUAACUUCGUGCCAGCCGCCGCGGUAAUAC
RNAcentral lists this ribosomal RNA (407 nucleotides) under uncultured bacterium. RNAcentral's name for it is "partial 16S ribosomal RNA". It matches the Rfam family "Bacterial small subunit ribosomal RNA", at positions 30 to 526 of the family's 1533-position model. The record is from RNAcentral.